RNAcentral lists this transfer RNA (68 nucleotides) under Trichogramma cacaeciae. Its description in RNAcentral is "tRNA-Leu". The record is from RNAcentral. Lineage: Eukaryota; Metazoa; Arthropoda; Insecta; Hymenoptera; Trichogrammatidae.
AUUACUUUAAUAUAUUAGUAUAUUAAAUUUAGAAUUUAAAUAAAUGAUUAUUUUAAUCAUAAGUAAUA